AGGACGAACGCUGGCGGCGCGCUUAACACAUGCAAGUCGAGCGAGAACCAGGCCUUCGGGCUUGGGGAAAGCGGCGAACGGGUGAGUAACACGUGGGCAACCCACCCUUGGUACCGGGAUAGCCCGAGGAAACUCGGAUUAAUACCGGAUGGCCCAACAGCUCUUCGGGGCGGUUGGAAAAGGUAGCUUCGGCCUCCGACCAAGGACGGGCCCGCGGCGGAUUAGCUUGUUGGUGAGGUAACGGCUCACCAAGGCGACGAUCCGUAGCUGGUCUGAGAGGACGAUCAGCCACACUGGGACUGAGACACGGCCCAGACUCCUACGGGAGGCAGCAGUGGGGAAUCUUGCGCAAUGGGCGAAAGCCUGACGCAGCGACGCCGCGUGGGGGAAGAAGGCUUUCGGGUUGUAAACCCCUUUCAGGAGAGACGAAGCUACUCGGGUUAAUAGCCCAGAGGGUGACGGUAUCUUCAGAAGAAGCCCCGGCUAACUACGUGCCAGCAGCCGC
RNAcentral lists this ribosomal RNA (505 nucleotides) under uncultured bacterium. RNAcentral describes it as "SSU rRNA". It matches the Rfam family "Bacterial small subunit ribosomal RNA", at positions 26 to 518 of the family's 1533-position model. The record is from RNAcentral.